GAAUGCUGACAUAAGUAACGAUAAAGCGGGUGAAAAGCCCGCUCGCCGGAAGACCAAGGGUUCCUGUCCAACGUUAAUCGGGGCAGGGUGAGUCGACCCCUAAGGCGAGGCCGAAAGGCGUAGUCGAUGGGAAACGGGUUAAUAUUCCCGUACUUGGUGUUACUGCGAAGGGGGGACGGAGAAGGCUAUGUUGGCCGGGCGACGGUUGUCCCGGUUUAAGCGUGUAGGUGUGUGUUCCAGGUAAAUCCGGUUCACUUUAACACUGAGGCGUGAUGACGAGGCACUACGGUGCUGAAGCAACAAAUGCCCUGCUUCCAGGAAAAGCCUCUAAGCAUCAGGUAACAUCAAAUCGUACCCCAAACCGACACAGGUGGUCAGGUAGAGAAUACCAAGGCGCUUGAGAGAACUCGGGUGAAGGAACUAGGCAAAAUGGUGCCGUAACUUC
This 445-nucleotide ribosomal RNA is filed under the name Salmonella enterica subsp. enterica serovar Kimuenza. Its description in RNAcentral is "partial 23S ribosomal RNA". It matches the Rfam family "Bacterial large subunit ribosomal RNA", at positions 1292 to 1737 of the family's 2925-position model. Lineage: Bacteria; Pseudomonadati; Pseudomonadota; Gammaproteobacteria; Enterobacterales; Enterobacteriaceae. The record is from RNAcentral.